GUUGUAUGGUUAAGUGACUAAGCGUACACGGUGGAUGCCUGGGCAGUCAGAGGCGAUGAAGGACGUACUAACUUGCGAUAAGCGCAGAUAAGGCAGUAAGAGCCGUUUGAGUCUGCGAUUUCCGAAUGGGGAAACCCAACUGCAUAAGCAGUUACUGUUAACUGAAUACAUAGGUUAACAGAGCAAACCGGGGGAACUGAAACAUCUAAGUACCCCGAGGAGAAGAAAUCAACCGAGAUUCCGGUAGUAGCGGCGAGCGAACCUGGAUUAGCCCUUAAGCACUCGGUGAAGUAGGUGAACAAGCUGGAAAGCUUGGCGAUACAGGGUGAUAGCCCCGUAACCGACGCUUCAUCGAGCGUGAAAUCGAGUAGGGCGGGACACGUGAUAUCCUGUCUGAAUAUGGGGGGACCAUCCUCCAAGGCUAAAUACUCCUGACUGACCGAUAGUGAACCAGUACCGUGAGGGAAAGGCGAAAAGAACCCCUGUGAGGGGAGUGAAAUAGAACCUGAAACCGUGUACGUACAAGCAGUAGGAGCACCUUCGUGGUGUGACUGCGUACCUUUUGUAUAAUGGGUCAGCGACUUAUAUUCAGUGGCAAGGUUAACCGUAUAGGGGAGCCGUAGCGAAAGCGAGUCUUAACUGGGCGCUCAGUCUCUGGAUAUAGACCCGAAACCGGGUGAUCUAGCCAUGGGCAGGUUGAAGGUUGAGUAACAUCAACUGGAGGACCGAACCGACUAAUGUUGAAAAAUUAGCGGAUGACUUGUGGCUAGGGGUGAAAGGCCAAUCAAACUCGGAGAUAGCUGGUUCUCCCCGAAAGCUAUUUAGGUAGCGCCUCGGACGAAUACUACUGGGGGUAGAGCACUGUUAAGGCUAGGGGGUCAUCCCGACUUACCAACCCUUUGCAAACUCCGAAUACCAGUAAGUACUAUCCGGGAGACACACGGCGGGUGCUAACGUCCGUCGUGGAGAGGGAAACAACCCAGACCGCCAGCUAAGGUCCCAAAGUAUUGCUAAGUGGGAAACGAUGUGGGAAGGCUCAGACAGCUAGGAUGUUGGCUUAGAAGCAGCCAUCAUUUAAAGAAAGCGUAAUAGCUCACUAGUCGAGUCGGCCUGCGCGGAAGAUGUAACGGGGCUAAGCAAUACACCGAAGCUGCGGCAAUGUCUUUUAGA
Molecule: ribosomal RNA, 1170 nt
Filed under: Vibrio cholerae
Lineage: Bacteria; Pseudomonadati; Pseudomonadota; Gammaproteobacteria; Vibrionales; Vibrionaceae
Also listed under: 1 other name
Description: partial 23S ribosomal RNA
Rfam family: Bacterial large subunit ribosomal RNA
Source: RNAcentral